UCUCCAGUGUGGAAACUGCACGAAGGAACAGCAAAAGCACUGCUGUUCAUCAGGUUUCCUGAAAACAAAGCAGAAGAAACCGUUGGCCACUUCGGGAGAAGCUGGGUAAAGCUGGGAGCAAAUGUUACAGGAGCCUCUGGAAAGGGCUGAGGUCCUGCUCCUCGGGGAGAUGGAGGGCAGCCC
Molecule: long non-coding RNA, 183 nt
Organism: Rhea pennata
Lineage: Eukaryota; Metazoa; Chordata; Aves; Rheiformes; Rheidae
Exons: 3
Source: RefSeq, a predicted model, not a curated record